Molecule: ribosomal RNA, 492 nt
Filed under: uncultured bacterium
Lineage: Bacteria
Description: partial 16S ribosomal RNA
Rfam family: Bacterial small subunit ribosomal RNA
Source: RNAcentral
AGUGAACGCUGGCGGUAGGCCUAACACAUGCAAGUCGAACGGCAGCACAGUAAGAGCUUGCUCUUACGGGUGGCGAGUGGCGGACGGGUGAGGAAUACAUCGGAAUCUACUUUUUCGUGGGGGCUAACGUAGGGAAACUUACGCUAAUACCGCAUACGACCUACGGGUGAAAGCAGGGGAUCUUCGGACCUUGCGCGAUUGAAUGAGCCGAUGUCGGAUUAGCUAGUUGGCGGGGUAAAGGCCCACCAAGGCGACGAUCCGUAGCUGGUCUGAGAGGAUGAUCAGCCACACUGGAACUGAGACACGGUCCAGACACCUACGGGAGGAAGCAGUGGGGAAUAUUGGAGGAUGGGGGAAAGCCGGAUCCAGCAAUACCGCGUGGGUGAAGAAGGCCUUCGGGUUGUAAAGCCCUUUUGUUGGGAAAGAAAAGCAGCAGGUUAAUACCCCGCUGUUCUGACGGUACCCAAAGAAUAAGCACCGGCUAACUUCGUG